RNAcentral lists this long non-coding RNA (2442 nucleotides) under Daucus carota (carrot). RNAcentral describes it as "long non-coding RNA (DCAR_LNC007666)". The record is from RNAcentral. Lineage: Eukaryota; Viridiplantae; Streptophyta; Magnoliopsida; Apiales; Apiaceae.
GUGUACUGUUAGUCAGUGGGUCCAUAGAUAAAAGAUAAUACUAGCAGAUAAACAUAUCACACAAAAAUACACGCUCGACUUAAGCCAAGAGAAUUAGGGUUUUGGGGAUUUGGGGGAAACCAUCAGAUGGGAUCAAGCAGAGAAACAAAGGUGAGGAUUGUUUUUGAUAUAUGUUAAAUCGUGUGUAUGAAUAUGUAUGCUAUUGUGUUGUUGAGAGAUAUUGUUGUACUGGAGAUGGAUAUGGUUCGUGUGUUGGCCGGAGGGAGCGGUGGUGUUAAGGCCGGCGGCGGCUCGCCGCUUGUGAAGUGGGUGUGUUUAAUGCGUCGGAGAUGGCUGAGAUGACAGGGUCGGUACGAUCAGGUGAGAAGGCGACUGUUUCGUCGCCGAUCGGAGCCGCGCGGAGGAAGGCAAACAGCCACCUAGCGGCUGUUCCGAUGGCCGGAAUCCAUGGAAGGCUGGGGAAGACGGCCUGAAGUGGAGAGAGAGAAAGAGAGAGAGGGGUGGCUGGGCUGUGGUGAUGCCGGAGUCCGGCGAGAGGACCGCCGGAAAAGAGGCAGCAGCAUGGGCUGUUGGAAUUUUCGGAAAGACAAAAACGAAUGUUAAUUUUGUUUUUAUUAUUUUUAUUAUUGUUAUUAUUAAUAAAUGAUAACAAUAAUAUAAAUAAUAUUAAUAAAAUUAAUAUAUAAUUUUGAUUGUUAUAUUUAAUUGCAAAGUGUAUUAUUAUUAUUAUAAUACAACGUGGUUAUUAAACAUAGACUGUGGUCCUCAAUUGUUGUAUCGGUUUAUUAUUGUUGAUAACAUGUUUAGUUAUAAAUUAGGGUGGAUUAGACAUGAGAAUUUGAUUGUGGUGGAUAAGUAUUGUGUUGGUUGUUUGUUGAUUGUUGGGAUUGCCUUAUUACAAAGGAAGUGCUGUCCGAAUUAUUAUUAUUAUUUUUUUUUUUUUUUUUACAUUUGGAUUUGAAUUGAGAAUCGAAUUAAGAUUAUAAUUCGGAUUCUGAUUGAAAUUUGGACAGAGAUUCUUGGAUUACUAGUUAUGAUUAAUUAUAAUUAAUAAAGCAUGUCAAUCUCGUGAUACGUGACAAUGUGAUUACGUGUUUAAAUUAUGAAUAUUACAUGUAUAUAAUAAUUGAAAAAUAUUUAUAUACCACGAAGGGUAGAAUUAGAUUUCGGUUCGAUUUCUUGAUUUAGACGACAAUCUGGUUUGUUCGUCAACUAAAUUACAUUUUGUUAUCAUAUAUAGUCGGCUGAGACUCGUUUAUCAAGGACGUUCAGAAUAGUUGAUUUGUGUUUUCAGAUUGUGUUGAGCCAGAAGCGAGUUGCCAAGGAAAUAUAUUAUUUUCGAGUUGCGUGACUGUGCAGUCACAAGUUGUUCUAUUAGAGGCAAGUAUCUUUAUCGACGACUUGCACUUAUUUCAAGUAAAAUUUUAUCUCGUCUAUUUAAAAAGAAUCAUUCAUAUUCAUAUUUUGCUAUGUCCAUUAGUAGUGCAUGUCAUAUAUUUAAAAAUACAAUAUUAUUAAUUAUCCCUUGUAUAACUACUACAAGUAUUCUGUUUGACAUCUCUUUAUAACCAAUCAUAUUUUAUUUUCUUCACUCAAUAAACAUUUUCUGCUACUGCACACAAGCAUUCAUGAUCUUUUGAAUCUCUUUAUAAAAUUUUAGUUGUUUUCAGCAUUUUAAAAAGAUAAGCUGAUUAAGCUUUGAAAUUAUUAAUUAAAGAUCUUCAAUUAUUCUCUCUCCUAUAUUUGAACAUGUACUCUUUACGAGUAUAUUAGUUACCUGAAUUACAUUACACAACUUCGAGCAUGAAAGCUAUUUUACUUGCAUCAUUAUGUUGGACAUGUGUACACUCACAUCAUGUUUACAAUAUUUUAUCAACUGUUGUUUUCUAUAAAUGUUUCCUCUGAAAAGAACUUUUAUUUAAUGUUCUAGAAAUGCUGAACUGUUAAUCUAACGGUUAGUAUUAUGAUUUUGAUAUGAAACAAGGUUGUCGAUUAUUUUGAUACCUUGCUUAUUUUGUGAUUGGAAGUACCCUCGGGGACCGACCGCCGGUCCAGUUACAAUUUUGGCCAAUAUGUGCCUUGGAUCCCUUAAAAUUUGGUGACAUGCUUCGUGCAUGAUCCGGUGCUAUCUCGCGACUGAUCAUCGGCUAUAGCAUAGCGUGAAAUUAUUCCAAUCCCUAAAAAUGUUGUGGAAGGUUUAUAUAGUAAUGCUAUUCUUUAUUAGCAUUAAGUUUCAGAAAAGUUUUAUAAAUUAAAUUCGAAGUUCAUAUUGUCGCUGAAGCAUUUGUUGCCCAGUGAUAGUUAGAGCCAAGAAUGAGUUGAGAUCUUCUUAUCUGUUCAACCCGUCAUGGUCAUGCUGAUUUAGCAACUAAAUAUAUGGAAAUUUAGUCGACAAUGAUGGACACUGAAUAUUUAGGGAUUUCUUGAACUGUGGUUUAUGAA